Molecule: ribosomal RNA, 140 nt
Filed under: Salmonella enterica
Lineage: Bacteria; Pseudomonadati; Pseudomonadota; Gammaproteobacteria; Enterobacterales; Enterobacteriaceae
Description: partial 16S ribosomal RNA
Rfam family: Bacterial small subunit ribosomal RNA
Source: RNAcentral
AAAUUGAAGAGUUUGAUCAUGGCUCAGAUUGAACGCUGGCGGCAGGCCUAACACAUGCAAGUCGAACGGUAACAGAGAGCAGCUUGCUGCUUUGCUGACGAGUGGCGGACGGGUGAGUAAUGUCUGGGAAACUGCCUGAU